AAGUUAGGUGCUUAGAAUAAGUGAAAAGGGAAUGUGGUUAAAUUCCACAGCAGCCCCCGCUACUGUAAUUGAUGACAACUCUUUAAAAUUGCCACUUUUUUAAAAAUAAGAGGGGAAGGCAAAGAGAAGGAUGAUUCAUGAGCCAGGAGACCUGCCUAAUUUUAA
Molecule: non-coding RNA, 165 nt
Filed under: Clostridium senegalense
Lineage: Bacteria; Bacillati; Bacillota; Clostridia; Eubacteriales; Clostridiaceae
Source: RNAcentral